CAUUCAAGGCAUUUGGAAGGUU
RNAcentral lists this non-coding RNA (22 nucleotides) under Arabidopsis thaliana (thale cress). The record is from RNAcentral. Lineage: Eukaryota; Viridiplantae; Streptophyta; Magnoliopsida; Brassicales; Brassicaceae.